RNAcentral lists this long non-coding RNA (2541 nucleotides) under Nicotiana benthamiana. RNAcentral's name for it is "long non-coding RNA (NBEN_LNC038664)". The record is from RNAcentral. Lineage: Eukaryota; Viridiplantae; Streptophyta; Magnoliopsida; Solanales; Solanaceae.
AAUGACCCUGUUUCAUGUAUUGAUCAAUGCCUACCCUACAAAUUAAGUCCUUUGCCAACACUAUCUCGGCAUCAGCUUCCCCAAAAAUACCACCCAAUUCUGUCAAUUUUAGAUCUGAAUCUAACCCUAAAACCCCUAAAUCACCCCAAACGGUCCCAAACUCACACUAUAUGAACUCUAGCCUGCCCUCACCACCAUUCAACAGCCAAUUCCCCAAAAUCCCUCUUUAAUUUCCCCAAAUCUUAAAUCGAGAAAUCCUGAACCCUAACUUUUCACCUCUUUUGAUUUUCUUUUGUCAACUUGUGUUUGUCUGAACCAAAAUCUCCAUUAGUCAACUGUUCUUGUUGAGAACAAUCGAUUAAUGGUAGUUUAAGUUCAGUUCACCCUGUUGAAGUUCGAUCGAACCCCUGACUAGUCCGGAUUUGGAACAAGUUCUGGUAAUUCCUUUGCCAUUCUUUUCUCCUUUACCAUUCUGAUUAUCCCUUUCAUGUCUUUUUUUGUUUGUUUGUUUGUUUUGUUAGUAGUAUGUUUUAGGUUUUUCUUUUCUUCAGGACUAUUCUUGUUUAUUUAUGUUUGCAUCUGAUUAUUUGAUUAGUAAAAGCAAGUUAAGAUUUCAUCAUCUAAAGUUUGAUUUCAAUUGCAUAAACUUAGUCUAACUAGGGUCAUCUUUAGGUUUGAUGCAUGAAAUGAUUCUGCUCUUUCUUCCAUGUUUCUAUCUUAGGUUUAGUACUUGUAUAGGAUAAUUUAUAGUUUAUCUUUGCAGUUCCAUAUUAAUUAGUUGUUUAAAUUGAGUUUUUAUUUAGGUUUAAUUAGAUUAGCAUUUUUAUUUACCAAUUAGCUUAGUUUUAGGUUUAAAUUGCAUCAUCAUGCUUCUGCUUGUAAUUUCGAUUUAGAUUUUGGAUCCCUUUUUAUUUUUGCCUCUAUUUUCCUUGACUUGUAAAUCACUAGAAACUUAUAGGGACCUAAUUAAACUAAAAGAAAACUUAGGGGAAUAUCAGAACUUUAAAAAAUAAAUAUCUAAAAGAGGAUGGCUCUAGAAGUGUACUAGCCGCCCAAAUUGAUUUUAAAAUAUGCUGAAAUGGACGGCUGGACAUUUAUCCUCUGAAAAUAUGUAGUACUAUCUAUGGAAUUUAAGGUAGAAUAUUCUUUAGAUUCUAUUUUUGGAUAUUCACUAUAAAAAGAAAGCUAUUCACUCAUUCAUACACAGACACAUUCAGAUUUCAUAACUCUAAGAAUACACGGAUAUUCAUAAGCAUUUUCCUGCAUUUUGAAAGGUUAAAAAAACCAAACUCCUUGAUAACUUUUCGAGGCAAAAACAUUAGUUGCCUAAAUCAGAAUUUUUGGGCUAGUCUUCUGCUGAAGACUCUGGUUUUAAGAGUUUGGGUUGCUGUUUCUUGGUUUUCCUUCUAGUUUGAUUCUGGGUGUUGUUUGUUUUUGGGUUUCUUUUGCUUCUCCAUUUCUCUAAGUUCAAUUAGCUUCUCAUCUAUUUUCUGUUGAAUUUUGUUGCUUUUUUGUUCAAGGUAUUUGACCUCAGCUUUUCUCCAUGUAAUGCUUUUUUUGUUGAAAUGAUAUAAGACUAGAGUUGCAAAUCAUAUGUAAAAAAUGAGUAUUAUUUUCAUGAUUGUUGUAGUUUUACAUUGAUAUAGAUCUGAUUGGUCUUUAUUAUUUAAAACUUUUAAGUAACUUGGUAUGAAUAACCUAGUUAAUACAUGGAAGCUUUUGUAGUUUUCAUCCUAAAAAUAACCUUAUUUGAAGAUGUUUCUUUAGCCAAAUGUUCUGUAUGUUAAGGCUGAUUCUGGAUGUUGGCUUAUUAAAUUCACGUCUUACCUUCUUUUUCUGUUGAAUGAAUAAUAUGUUGGUUCCUUAAUAUCACUUGAGUUCUGUUGCUAACCAUGAGCUAUACUAGUUGGCCAAAUUAGCAGGUUCAAAAGCUAAGAGUUGGAAUUUUACUGUCGGUAGCAUGCUGGAUCUGUGUGUUCAUGCAUUGGACUAAGCUUUUGAUGGACAAAUCAUUCCCAAAAAAAGCAGUUGUUCAUUACGUUCUUAAUUACAUAGAGUUGUAACAGAUUAGUUGUUAAUGUAGUGUUUAUGUAUUAGUAGGUUGUAAUGUACUACUCUAAUUUAAGAAAUCUUUAUUCUAGAGGACUGUAAUGAAUUAGGCUUCAAUUUCAUGUACCGAGAUUCAAUACAGCUGCUUUAGGAGUGUAAUUAUGUUAUUUUCAUAUUUUCAUAAGUAUAGUGGUGCAAUGGUCAAAGCUAUCGGCCAAAUCUUUAAGGCCAAAAUGCCUUUUCCUAAUUCAAGGUGGGUCAAACUUGGGAAUGAGCCUACAUGGGAAAAACAAAUCUCGACAAUUCUGGGCCUUAAGCCCAAUAUCUUGGCUCAGUUGUAAAGUUAAUUUAUGAACUACAGUAUAAAUGUAUGUCCUUGAAUAUCUUGCAAAUCAUGUGUAGUGCAAUUAAUUUUCAAAACUUGAAUUGUAUUUUGAUUUCUAGAUUUUGAUCUUUCUAAUUAGAAGUGAAUUAGGUUACAACUUUUAUAAA